RNAcentral lists this long non-coding RNA (6686 nucleotides) under Heterocephalus glaber (naked mole-rat). RNAcentral describes it as "lncRNA (ENSHGLG00000046710.1)". Lineage: Eukaryota; Metazoa; Chordata; Mammalia; Rodentia; Bathyergidae. The record is from RNAcentral.
AGGAGGAAGCUGGAGUACAGGGAAGGGAAGUUACAAGCCCAGAACUAGUUCCUGAACUGGGAUCCAGUCCUCACGUGUUAUGGAGCAAGUGUGUGUACUGGUCUUCCGUGUGUAGUGUUCUGGACACCAUAUUGGGUGAUAUCUCACUGCUGCCUGUGUCGCUAGGCUCUGAGACUUAAGAACUGGGGAGUGGGGGUAGAUAGCAGAGUUGGCACUGUUUUUCCCUGGUUCCCUUGUCACUUCUGUUGUGCCUGCAUAUUAAAAGUAGAGUUAACACAAUUCACCUUUGAAUAAUUUUAUGUGACUGUGUCUUGGGAUUUGUAGUUGCUUAUUCAUGUGUACUUUUGCCUCCUUUCUGCUUUAUUUUAGGACCCUUUUUUUUUUUCUGGUGAUGGGGACCGCUUAGGUUUUAAACUGAAAAGCUAAGGGACAUAUAUCCAUUUUGAAAGAAUGCGUGUUCUGGGAAUAAGGAUGGAGGAAGUAGUCAUAAGUACAUUUGUAUAUACUUCUAAAGAAAAUUAAGGUGUAGUAAUGUAUCCAUGAAAACAAACACAAACAGAGGAACCCUUUUCAGCUAUCACCACAAUAAAAGUAUAUUUCAGAAAGUAACUGGAGACUUGGUCUUGAGAAGUUGCCAUAUCCGAUAUGAUAUAUUAAGUCGUUCAAUCCUAGGGCACUAUUCAGGCAUUUAAAGAAUUCAUCUUUGUCAAACAUAAUCUCUCUCACAAUCCUGAAUAAUUAAUGGGGAGCUAAGCCUUCAAAUAUGACUUGACAAUAUCAAGUAUAAUAAUGUAGUUACAGGUCUUGUCUUCCACCAUCAAAAACUAAUUCACUGCCAAGCACUGUUUAACAGAAAAUGUUGUGUGAUUCUUCUGAUGUAUGUCAUUCAGAGUGUUUAUUUUCAGAAGUAAGUAUCUCUUCAAGUUGUUUUUAAAAAUAUUUGUAUGGAAAAAAAAUUUGUGACACAGUUUAAUUAGUAUGCAGCAUAUUUUUGGUGUAUCUUCUUUGCUAACUUUCUCAAGUUGUCAUAUUGGAAUGUGAUGAUGUGGAUGUUCCUUAAUUUUCUUUGUUACUUUUUAGCUUCCUCUGCAAAAAUGGGCCUAGUUGAAACAAAGUUGGCGAUUAUUCCUGGUGGAGGCUCUUUGGGAGCUUAUAUCAGUGGAAACCACAGCUUCUGGCCUUUAUAAUGAAUACUUGAUCAGCCAUGAUUGACUUGUAUUUACCAUUCUGCAGUGGCUCCUCUCAGAAACGAAGCUCCUUUGUUUCUUAUAGAACAUUACAGACCGGUGUUACCCUUGAGUCUUCGCUGUGGAAAGGAGGGAAGCAGGAGGAGAGUCAUGGAGAAAGGGCCCUGAGUAGACGCAGCCGGCAUUGCAAAGUGCAGAACGUGGGAUGGUGACACAAGCAGAGUCGUCUUGAACAGCAGAAGGGAUUCAUCUUUCCUCUGAGCCCAGUGGCCUAGAGAUGAAGAAGGGCACAGCGAGAUCCAUCCGAGGAAGUGGGAAGGCAUACGUGUUUGCGACAGUGGGGGACAGGAAGAUCCUGCAUUGUGUGGAAGCAACAGGAGAGGCAGGGGCUUGUGUGCAGACCAGGAGGCCUGUGGUGGCCCGGGGGCAAUCUGCAUGAGCGUGAGGAUGCUUUCCCUCCCUGGACUGCCUGCCUCCUGCUUCUGAGACUUGAGGGUGCUGCCCUUCAGGAACAGAGCAGCAGUUUCCCUUGGGAAGUAGCUGUUUGUCUUCCAUGUCUGUUUUUUUCCUAUUUAUUUAGUUAGCUUCUGACUUCUUCCUGUGCAUAUACUACCAGGGAGGGGGCGGGGGAGGCUGAAGAUUGAACCCAGGAAGUACUGAGAUACACCUGCAGCCCUCCCCCCUUAAUUUACUUUGAGCCAGGGUUUUGCUAAGUGCCCACUCUGGCCUCGAAUUUGCUAUCCUCCUGCUCCAGCCUCUCAAGAAGCUGGGAUUCCAGGCAUACAUGCCUCACGCCUGGCCGCCUUUAGCAUGAUUUCUGUCUUAGCAGUGUAUAUUGUCUGUGCUCUAAUUCGUCAGUUCUGUAAUGGUGGUUGUUCUAGUCCUAGCUCUUGAUUUCACUUUCCAUUUCAGUCUCCUGGCUUGCCAUCUCUUCUGUGAGCUGCAUGUUUUGGUCUCGCAUCUUCUCUAAGUAGUCUCAUAUCACACACACUUAUGGGAGACCCUUCAGUGACGGCACUGGCUUUCUUUAAUACAGGACUGUGACUUUAGUAGGUAUGGCCUUUGCCUUCCUCAGUGGGUGGCUUGUUUGGCUUGCCUUGUGGAAUGGGGAAAAUGGCAUGUCAUUGUAUAGUUUUCAUACCAUUAUAUUCUCUCCCUGCUGUGUGUUUUCUGUCCUGAGUCUCGACCAGGACUAUUGCUGCAUCACAGAAUGGGUGGGCUUUGGGCCAAGGGCUCAGUAUUGCUUGUUUUUUUGUUUUUCCCAGUUUUCCAAGAGAAAGGGAGCAAAGGAGGCAAGGCUUGCAGUGUGGAGCACAGGUAGUCCAUGAUGCAGCUCCACAAGGAUCCUCCAUGCCUGUGUCCGAGGAGACAGACUCCCUUUGCUAGACGCCAGCCCCAACAGGUGGCCCGGUGUUCAUAGGCCCUGCGUCCAUCCCUCCCCACUUCCCAUACUGUUCACACCAUUGCUAGCUUUAGCCAGGAAGUAUGGGUGUGAUUGGUGAGCACACAAGUGUGUUUGGGGGUGCGACAGCACUCCAGGGUACACUGUGUAGUGUCGUGCAGGGUAAGCAAGCAGGAGUCAGGGCGGCUGGCCAUGCUCGACAAUCUCUGACUGUGGCCUCUGCUUUCUGUGUAAAGAGUUAGAUGGUCAUUGUGGCGCAGGCGGAAGGAGGCAGUGAUAGGCUGCCUGAGGGUCAUAUGGCCCUAGGUUCACUUCUGUCAGCAUGGUCAGCUCCAGGGAUGGUCUUUCAUAGGCUCCUCACUCAGGCACUUUUCCUCCUCAUUUACCUCAGUUCCACUGAGCUUGUUUCAUCUGUCUUUCUUUUUACUAAACUUUUGCCUAAUAUUUGGGGUGAUUCAUGAUUUAGGUGACUGUGUUAUUUUCCAUCUUCUUUCACCAGCUUUGGUCUUAGCAGAUAAAAACCAAUAUGGCCAUCUCCCCGUUCUGAUAGGAAGAAGGGCAUUUUUUCUCAAAAAGUAUUUUGAUUUUUAAAUGUCUCCUUGGGCUCCUUCUCACCCAUUUUUGGUGCUGACAUUGCUACUUCUCAAGAUUCUGGCUAUCGCCAUCUUUGCCCACAAGGCUGCUGGGGAAUUGGGCCCUGCAUUCCAGUCUGCCUGGGGGACCUGGCCCUGCUCUAGACUGAUUCUGCUGUGCUGUUAGCCACUUCUGCAGUUGCCUUGCUUUCUUCCCCCUACUUUCCCCCACUGGUUUUUCAGCUAGUGUUUUUAAAACAUUUAAAGAGAGUCUGGAAAGUGACUAGAAAGAUCUCUAGUGUACGUCUUAAAUUUCUAAUAACAUAUAGUGUCAUUGUUUCAAGAGUUCACAUUUGAAAUGCUGACAAUUUGACAGAAUUUUAAUCUCUGCGUCUCAAACAACUGUUUGAAGUAACACUGUGUUUUAUGUAGUGAUGGCAACAGACCUCGGCUGCUCUUGCUGGAGCACAGCAGUGCUUGUCAUGUCCAGAGAGCCUCCCUUCGCAUUUCCUCCUGGAGCAGGGAAGGGACAGAUGUCACCUCCACAGAGCCAUGGCAGUGAGCAAGGGGAAGUGACCGGCCUGGCUGACCUCUUCCAUACUCACCUGCUCCACAGGGAGUAUAAGAAGUUGGUUGUGACACCUGAAUGACAUAAUGGCAAAGUUUAAGCAACCUUCUUGGACCGUGAGUUAAUCUGGAAGACAGAAGAUGCAUUGUGAGGAUAGCAAAGGAAAUUCACUGAGGAAACCUGGCUUCUGACUUCAUGGAGUAGCAGUUUAUGAUCAUUGUGCAGCCUUGAGGAAACUGGUCCCAACAUUUUGUUUUUUAAUUUCUAGGUUUCAAGAAAGUGGUUAAAUCAAAGAAGUAAAAAUGUACAGCAUGUUACAUGUUAAUGAGGCUGGAUUUAGUAAAAUGGGCAGUAAAAAGGUUGAAAAUGGGGUAACAUCACAUAGCGAAAUGCUGAUUACUGAGAAACUGGCUUCCUGUGCUCAUUCAGUAAUGCUCGUUCUUGAUGCUCAGCUUUUGUUGGGAAAGAGAAGCCUUGAAACUCAGUAUAAAAUCUUUACAAGAAUAUUCAGAGCAUGCAUAUGAAACUGUGGCUAGUAUAAGUGAACUUGAUCACUAUAUGAGCAAAAAGUGUACAUUUUAAAAUAUACUUCCACCAAAACAAACUGGGGUUUAGGGAGAAAAUACACAAAAUGAACUGGAGCAUUUUGUGAUAUCAGAUCAUUAGAAAUUACCAGACACUGCCUGAAGCUUGUCAGAGGGAGUUCAGAGCCAUUUGCAAGUAAAUUCUCACUUGCCUAAGAUGGGUUGUCCUGGCUUGUGUUUAGAUGUCUCCCCAAAGCCUCAUUGGGUCAUAGGUGGGGCUUUUCAGAGAUGGCUGGAUCUAGAGUGUGUGACGCUGGGAUUGAUGAGAGCAGUAAUAACUAUUAUUAGCAAUGCUAGGCACAAAGGCACUAGGAUUAAGAGUCGGAGUGCUACCCACCUUAGGUAGCCUCGGUAAGAUAAAAGGGAUAGAAAGAUCUGUGGUGGUCCCUUGUUGCUUUUCCUGUCUGCUGCAUGCCCCUCUGCCUUGGAGCCAGCCAACUGUGACCUGAAACCUCUACAGUAAGCCAAAAAAAACCCUUUCCUCCCUUAACUUUUGCAUGUCAGGUAUUUUGUCUCAGCAGUAAGAGAAAAGUAACUAACAGAAUUUGGUACUAGAGAAUUGAGGUCCUUGCUGUGAGUAUAUCUAACCAUGUGGUUCAGAAACCUUUGGGACUGGCUUUUGGGAAGAGUUGUGAAAGGUUCGGAGACACUUUUUAAAAAGUACAGUUGGAGCACCUUAGGCUGAACUUGAUGGCAGAUUCUGGUCAGAGCUUAGAAUACCAGAAAACUGAUAGAAAUGCCAGUAAAGACCAAGCUCAGGAGGUUUCUGCUGGAAAGAAAGACUGUAUUGACUGUUGGACUCCAGAUGAUGUGUGCUAUGGCUUGGCAGAAAGUUUGUCUGCAUUUUGCUCAUGUCCAGAUACUUUGCCUGAGACUGAGAUUAAGGGUGUUGGACUAAUUAAUCUGGCAGAAGAAAUCUCAAGACAGUCUAAUUUUGAGGUGGUGGCAUGGCAACUGUUGGGGGCUUUUAGCCAGAUUUAUGUUGAGAAUCCAGAGCAAAGAGCCCAGCAGAAUGAUUUAAAAUGUUUUGAGUUUGGCCAGAAAAGAAGCUCUGAGUGAAGUUUUAGCCUGCAGAAAUGGAGCAGAAAUCUUGUUGCUGAGAAAGGAACAGGAGAAUAGAAAAGAUGGCCUGAGAUCUUCACAAGGAGCAGCAGGACUCCACCCCUUUGCAGCCUCAAAAUUGCAAAAGUGAAAGACUGCCUUGAAAAGACAGCCCCAGAACACUAUGUUCCAUAGUGGCAUCGGCCUAGAGAAUUUGUUCCUUUGAAUUGGGUUCAGAGUGCUCAGUGAUCCAGGCACACCACCCCUACAGCCAAGAGAGACAGAAGUCUGGCUACUGCUCCAACUGGCAGUAGACUACUGGCAUCAUCCAUAACGUGCUAGUUUUAGGAACAUGCGGAAUGCCGGAGUUGUGGGGACAAGAAGGCUUCCACUCAGAUUUCAGAAGAAGGCCUGGAAGGCCAGGCAGUGUGCCUCUGAGAGUGCAGCUGUGAGUGUGAAGUCAGAGGUGUAGUGGAGACCCCAGAAGUUUGGAGAAUCCAGGAAUAUGGAUGAUCUCUGGAAAACUGCAAAGAGGGAGCAGAGCCGGCCAAUGAGAGAAGCCAUGGGAGCUACAACCACAAGGAGUGCUAUAGAGGCGGAGCCACCCAAGCCCUUUGAAGUUCACACCUUGCCCCAGAUUGCCAUGGAUGCUGGAAGUGGAACUAUGGGAUUUGUUUGCCCUGCUGAUUUUGGACUUGCUUUGGUCCCAUUCCUUUGUAUCCCCCGUUUGUAACUUUUGGAAUAGAAAUGUCUGUCUUGUGCCAUUGAAUGUUGGCAGUGUCUAACUUCCUUUUCAUGUGUUCAGGGUCUGUCUUGUAGCUAAGAGUUUGCCUUCAAUCUCAGAAGAGACCUUGGACUUGGUCUUUUCAGCAGUGCUGAAACUGUUAGGACUUUGGCAACUCUUAGAGAUGGACUAAAUGCCUUUUGAAUAAAGAGAUGUAACGUGAGUCUUUGGGGGCCAGGGGCAGAAUAUUAUGGCCUGUGUUUAGAUGUCCCCCAAAGCCUCACGGGGUCAUAGGUUGGGCUUUUCAGAGGUGGCUGAAUCUGGAGUGUGUCAUGCUGGGAUUGAUUCAUGGAGCAAUGCUAGGCUCCGGGGCACUAGGAUUAAGAGUGUGAGUUCCACCUGCCUUAGGUAGCCUCGAUAAGCUGUAAGGGAUAGAAAGAUCUGUGGUGGUCCCUUGUUGUUUUUCCUGUCUGGUGCAUGCUACUCUGCCUUGGAGACAACUGUGGACUGAAAUGUCUACGAACUGUAAGCCAAAUAAACCUUUCGUCCCAUUUAGAGUGUUUUCAUGUUACUUUGUGACUUCAGAUUGUUGUUCAGGCUAUUUCCUU